Marasmius tenuissimus is the source of this 91-nucleotide non-coding RNA. The record is from the annotation of a GenBank genome assembly. Lineage: Eukaryota; Fungi; Basidiomycota; Agaricomycetes; Agaricales; Marasmiaceae.
GGCCUGAUGGUCUAGUAGUAUGAUUCCUUGUUAGGAUUCACGAUCUGUGGGUUUCUCGAGGAGGUCCCGGGUUCAAUUCCCGGUCAGGCCC